RNAcentral lists this ribosomal RNA (1038 nucleotides) under Laburnicola radiciphila. RNAcentral describes it as "SSU rRNA". It matches the Rfam family "Eukaryotic small subunit ribosomal RNA", at positions 66 to 1112 of the family's 1831-position model. The record is from RNAcentral. Lineage: Eukaryota; Fungi; Ascomycota; Dothideomycetes; Pleosporales; Didymosphaeriaceae.
UAAGCAAUUAUACCGUGAAACUGCGAAUGGCUCAUUAAAUCAGUUAUCGUUUAUUUGAUAGUACCUUACUACUUGGAUAACCGUGGUAAUUCUAGAGCUAAUACAUGCUAAAAACCCCGACUUCGGGAGGGGUGUAUUUAUUAGAUAAAAAACCAAUGCCCUUCGGGGCUCUUUGGUGAUUCAUAAUAACUUCUCAGAUCGCAUUUGGCCUUGCGCCGGCGACGGUUCAUUCAAAUUUCUGCCCUAUCAACUUUCGAUGGUAAGGUAUUGGCUUACCAUGGUUUCAACGGGUAACGGGGAAUUAGGGUUCGAUUCCGGAGAGGGAGCCUGAGAAACGGCUACCACAUCCAAGGAAGGCAGCAGGCGCGCAAAUUACCCAAUUCCAACACGGAGAGGUAGUGACAAUACAUACUGAUACAGGGCUCUUUUGGGUCUUGUAAUUGGAAUGAGUACAAUUUAAACCUCUUAACGAGGAACAAUUGGAGGGCAAGUCUGGUGCCAGCAGCCGCGGUAAUUCCAGCUCCAAUAGCGUAUAUUAAAGUUGUUGCAGUUAAAAAGCUCGUAGUUGAACCUUUGGCCUGGCUGGCAGGUCCGCCUCACCGCGUGCACUUGACCGGCCGGGCCUUUUCUUCUGGAGAACCGCAUGCCCUUCACUGGGUGUGUUGGGGACCAGGACUUUUACUUUGAAAAAAUUAGAGUGUUCAAAGCAGGCCUUUGCUCGAAUACGUUAGCAUGGAAUAAUAGAAUAGGACGUGCGGUCCUAUUUUGUUGGUUUCUAGGACCGCCGUAAUGAUUAAUAGGGACAGUCGGGGGCAUCAGUAUUCAAUUGUCAGAGGUGAAAUUCUUGGAUUUAUUGAAGACUAACUACUGCGAAAGCAUUUGCCAAGGAUGUUUUCAUUAAUCAGUGAACGAAAGUUAGGGGAUCGAAGACGAUCAGAUACCGUCGUAGUCUUAACCAUAAACUAUGCCGACUAGGGAUCGGGCGGUGUUUCUAUUGUGACCCGCUCGGCACCUUACGAGAAAUCAAAGUGUUUGGGU